RNAcentral lists this ribosomal RNA (599 nucleotides) under uncultured bacterium. RNAcentral describes it as "bacterial SSU rRNA". It matches the Rfam family "Bacterial small subunit ribosomal RNA", at positions 125 to 755 of the family's 1533-position model. The record is from RNAcentral.
CGUACUCCCAAGUCCGGCAUAGCUCGUCGAAAGACGGGGUAAUUCCGGAUGGUCCCGUAAGGGUAAAGAUUUAUCGCUUGGGAAGCGGCCUGCGUAGUAUCAGCUAGUUGGUAGGGUAACGGCCUACCAAGGCUACGACGCUUAGGGGAGCUGAGAGGCUGACCCCCACCGAUGGGACUGAGACACGGCCCAUACUCCUACGGGAGGCCGCAGUCGAGAAUCUUCCGCAAUGGACGAAAGUCUGACGGAGCGAUACAGCGUGAUGGACGAAGUGCUUCGGUACGUAAACAUCUUUUAUGUGGGACGAAAUUAUUGACGGUACCACAUGAAUAAGGGGCUCCUAACUCUGUGCCAGCAGGAGCGGUAAUACAGAGGCCCCAAGCAUUAUCCGGGAUCAUUGGGCGUAAAGGGUGUCAAGGCGGUCAUGUUAGUCGUUCGUAAAAUCCGGGGGCUCAACCUCCGGCCCGCGAGCGAAACGGCAUGACUAGAGGUAGGGAGAGGUGCGUGGAACUCACGGUGUAGGGGUGAAAUCCGUUGAUAUCGUGGGGAACACCAAAGGCGAAGGCAGCGCACUGGCCCUAAUCUGACGCUCACACACG